UGAGUACGAGCUGCUACGGCAGCGAAGUGGGUGACGUCAAGCUUCCAAGAAAAGCCCUAUACCCGUUAAGGCAUGAUGGCCUGUACCCGAAACCGACACAGGUGGGGUGGUAGAGAAUACCGAGGGGCGCGAGAUAACUCUCUCUAAGGAACUCGGCAAAAUGGCCCCGUAACUUCGGGAGAAGGGGUGCCACCGCAAGGUGGUCGCAGUGAAGAGGCCCAGGCGACUGUUUACCAAAAACACAGGUCUCCGCUAAGUCGCAAGACGAUGUAUGGGGGCUGACGCCUGCCCAGUGCCGGAAGGUUAAGGAAGCUGGUCAGCGUAAGCGAAGCUAGCGACUGAAGCCCCGGUGAACGGCGGCCGUAACGAUAACGGUCCUAAGGUAGCGAAAUUCCUUGUCGGGUAAGUUCCGACCCGCACGAAAGGCGUAACGAUCUGGGCGCUGUCUCGGAGAGAGGCUCGGCGAAAUAGAAUUGUCUGUGAAGAUGCGGACUACGUGCACCCGGACAGAAAGACCCUAUGAAGCUUUACUGUAGCUUGGUAUUGUGCUCGGGCUCGGAAUGCGCAGGAUAGGUGGGAGGCUAUGAACCAUUGCUUGUGGGUGAUGGUGAGCCACUGGUGAGAUACCACUCUUUCCGAGCUAGAGUUCUAACAGCCACCCGUUAUCCGGGGGCUGGACAGUAUCAGGUGGGCAGUUUGACUGGGGCGGUCGCCUCCUAAAAGGUAACGGAGGCGCGCAAAGGUUUGCUCAGGCUGUUGGAAAUCAGCCGACGAGUGUAAAAGCAGAAGCAAGCUUGACUGUGAGACCUACAAGUCGAACAGGGAGGAAACUCGGCUUUAGUGAUCCGACGGUUCUGCGUGGAAGGGCCGUCGCUCAACGGAUAAAAGUUACUCUAGGAUAACAGGCUGAUCUCCCCCAAGAGUUCACAUCGACGGGGGGGUUUGGCACCUCGAUGUCGGCUCAUCGCAACCUGGGGCUGAAGUCGGUCCCAAGGGUUGGGCUGUUCGCCCAUUAAAGCGGUACGCGAGCUGGGUUCAGAACGUCGUGAGACAGUUCGGUCCAUAUCCGGUGCAUGCGCAGGAAUAUUGAGAGGAUUUCUCCCUAGUACGAGAGGACCGGGAGGAACGCACCUCUGGUGUACCAGUUAUCGUGCCAACGGUAAACGCUGGGUAGCCAUGUGCGGAGAGGAUAACCGCUGAAAGCAUCCAAGUGGGAAGCCCACCUCAAGAUGAGUAUUCCCAUGGGUUAACCCAGUAAGGUCACGGGAAGAACACCCGUUGAUAGGCUCUACGUGGAAGCGCAGUAAUGUGUGAAGCGGAGGAGUACUAAUAGACCGAGGGCUUGAC
Molecule: ribosomal RNA, 1347 nt
Filed under: metagenome
Description: bacterial LSU rRNA
Rfam family: Bacterial large subunit ribosomal RNA
Source: RNAcentral